This 390-nucleotide ribosomal RNA is filed under the name Enterococcus faecalis. RNAcentral's name for it is "bacterial SSU rRNA". It matches the Rfam family "Bacterial small subunit ribosomal RNA", at positions 183 to 559 of the family's 1533-position model. Lineage: Bacteria; Bacillati; Bacillota; Bacilli; Lactobacillales; Enterococcaceae. The record is from RNAcentral.
AUGCCGCAUGGCAUAAGAGUGAAAGGCGCUUUCGGGUGUCGCUGAUGGAUGGACCCGCGGUGCAUUAGCUAGUUGGUGAGGUAACGGCUCACCAAGGCCACGAUGCAUAGCCGACCUGAGAGGGUGAUCGGCCACACUGGGACUGAGACACGGCCCAGACUCCUACGGGAGGCAGCAGUAGGGAAUCUUCGGCAAUGGACGAAAGUCUGACCGAGCAACGCCGCGUGAGUGAAGAAGGUUUUCGGAUCGUAAAACUCUGUUGUUAGAGAAGAACAAGGACGUUAGUAACUGAACGUCCCCUGACGGUAUCUAACCAGAAAGCCACGGCUAACUACGUGCCAGCAGCCGCGGUAAUACGUAGGUGGCAAGCGUUGUCCGGAUUUAUUGGGC